CCUACGGGUGGCAGCAGUGGGGAAUAUUGGACAAUGGGCGAAAGCCUGAUCCAGCCAUGCCGCGCGUGUGAAGAAGGCCUUCGGGUUGUAAAGCACUUUCAGUGGGGAAGAAAGCCUUGGGGCUAAUACCCUCGAGGAAGGACAUCACCCACAGAAGAAGCACCGGCUAACUCCGUGCCAGCAGCCGCGGUAAUACGGAGGGUGCGAGCGUUAAUCGGAAUUACUGGGCGUAAAGCGCGCGUAGGCGGUCUGAUAAGCCGGUUGUGAAAGCCCCGGGCUCAACCUGGGAACGGCAUCCGGAACUGUCAGGCUAGAGUGCAGGAGAGGAAGGUAGAAUUCCCGGUGUAGCGGUGAAAUGCGUAGAGAUCGGGAGGAAUACCAGUGGCGAAGGCGGCCUUCUGGACUGACACUGACGCUGAGGUGCGAAAGCGUGGGUAGCAAACAGGAUUAGAUACCCUAGUAGUC
This 465-nucleotide ribosomal RNA is filed under the name Vreelandella stevensii. RNAcentral describes it as "partial 16S ribosomal RNA". It matches the Rfam family "Bacterial small subunit ribosomal RNA", at positions 338 to 795 of the family's 1533-position model. Lineage: Bacteria; Pseudomonadati; Pseudomonadota; Gammaproteobacteria; Oceanospirillales; Halomonadaceae. The record is from RNAcentral.